UAGUCCACGCCGUAAACGAUGUCAACUAGCUGUUGGGAUUUUUCUUAGUAGCGAAGCUAACGCGAUAAGUUGACCGCCUGGGGAGUACAGCCGCAAGGUUAAAACUCAGACGAAUUGACGGGGACCCGCACAAGCGGUGGAUGAUGUGGAUUAAUUCGAUGCAACGCGAAAAACCUUACCUACACUUGACAUGUCAGAAAUUUUCAAGAGAUUGAUUAGUGCCCGAAAGGGAAUCUGAACACAGGUGCUGCAUGGCUGUCGUCAGCUCGUGUCGUGAGAUGUUGGGUUAAGUCCCGCAACGAGCGCAACCCUUAUCCUUAGUUGCUACGCAAGGGCACUCUAAGGAGACUGCCGGUGACAAACCGGAGGAAGGUGGGGAUGACGUCAAGUCCUCAUGGCCCUUAUGUGUAGGGCUUCACACGUCAUACAAUGGUCGGUACAGAGGGUUGCCAAGCCGCGAGGUGGAGCUAAUCCCAGAAAGCCGAUCGUAGUCCGGA
RNAcentral lists this ribosomal RNA (497 nucleotides) under uncultured bacterium. Its description in RNAcentral is "bacterial SSU rRNA". It matches the Rfam family "Bacterial small subunit ribosomal RNA", at positions 791 to 1297 of the family's 1533-position model. The record is from RNAcentral.